AAGUGGAGUCAGAGCAGCAGCAGGUGAAGGUAGAAAGUGUGUGUGAGCUGAUGUGAAUUGAGCAGCAUGGAUCAGUGUGAGGACCGAGAGGAGGGAGCCCCUCCCUCUAAAAGCACUCUGUGUGGGGAACAUGAGAGCCAGACCAAAGCUCAGAGGAACCCACCUGGACCUCCACCCAGCUCUGUGUCCUUACAGAGUGAUGACUCAAAGGAUCUUGGUAUUAACUUUAAAUCAGGCGUGUGUCAUCCAGCAGAGAGAGUGGAUCAACAGAGCUCAGAGGUUCCCAGUGGUCAGUCUGCCCAGCAGCAUCAAACACAGCUGGACUCCAUAUUUAUGGUCUGUACAUGUACAACAACUACUUUAUUAUUAAUAUUAAUAAUAAUACAUUUAUUUAUAGGUCCUUUUCAGAACACCAAGGACUCUGUGGACUAAAUGACCAAAAGAAAACAAACUUUGAAAUCAGACGGUGCAAAUGUGAUCACAGGGAAACGUUUUAAACAUCGAGAGUUAAACAAAAACCAAAGUGAAACAGUUUGUA
Molecule: long non-coding RNA, 538 nt
Organism: Haplochromis burtoni (Burton's mouthbrooder)
Lineage: Eukaryota; Metazoa; Chordata; Actinopteri; Cichliformes; Cichlidae
Exons: 4
Source: RefSeq, a predicted model, not a curated record